RNAcentral lists this ribosomal RNA (253 nucleotides) under uncultured bacterium. RNAcentral's name for it is "partial 16S ribosomal RNA". It matches the Rfam family "Bacterial small subunit ribosomal RNA", at positions 524 to 776 of the family's 1533-position model. The record is from RNAcentral.
UACGAGGGGGGCUAGCGUUGUUCGGAAUUACUGGGCGUAAAGCGCACGUAGGCGGAUUAGUUAGUCAGGGGUGAAAUCCCGGGGCUCAACCUCGGAUCUGCCUUUGAUACUGCUGAUCUCGUGUCCGGAAGAGGUGAGUGGAAUUCCUAGUGUAGAGGUGAAAUUCGUAGAUAUUAGGAAGAACACCAGUGGCGAAGGCGGCUCACUGGUCCGGUACAGACGCUGAGUUGCGAAAGCGUGGGGAUCAAACAGG